GCCGGGGAGAGCACAUCGUCGUCCGACCAAUGUUUACUGGGAAGCUACUGGGAGGCUGAGGCUGCGGAUCGCUUGAGCUCAGGGCUUCUGGACUGCAGUGGACUAUGUCGAUCGGGUGUCCGCACUAAGUUCGGUAUCGAUAUGGUGCUCCCGGGUGAGCUCGGGACCGCCAGGUCGUUUAAGGAGGAGUGAACCGGCCCAGGUCGGAAACGGAGCAGGUCAAAGCUCCCGUGCCGAUCAGUAGUGGGAUCGUGCCUGUGAAUAGACACUUCAGUUCAGCCUGAGCGACACAGAGAGACGCAGACUUUU
Danio rerio (zebrafish) is the source of this 309-nucleotide non-coding RNA. The record is from Rfam. Lineage: Eukaryota; Metazoa; Chordata; Actinopteri; Cypriniformes; Danionidae.